UGGGGAAUAUUGCACAAUGGGCGCAAGCCUGAUGCAGCCAUGCCGCGUGUGCGAAGAAGGCCUUCGGGUUGUAAAGCACUUUCAGCGAGGAGGAAGGGUGGUGUGUUAAUAGCACAUUGCAUUGACGUUACUCGCAGAAGAAGCACCGGCUAACUCCGUGCCAGCAGCCGCGGUAAUACGGAGGGUGCAAGCGUUAAUCGGAAUUACUGGGCGUAAAGCGCACGCAGGCGGUUUGUUAAGUCAGAUGUGAAAUCCCCGCGCUUAACGUGGGAACUGCAUUUGAAACUGGCAAGCUAGAGUCUUGUAGAGGGGGGUAGAAUUCCAGGUGUAGCGGUGAAAUGCGUAGAGAUCUGGAGGAAUACCGGUGGCGAAGGCGGCCCCCUGGACAAAGACUGACGCUCAGGUGCGAAAGCGUGGGGAGCAAACA
Molecule: ribosomal RNA, 427 nt
Filed under: uncultured bacterium
Lineage: Bacteria
Description: partial 16S ribosomal RNA
Rfam family: Bacterial small subunit ribosomal RNA
Source: RNAcentral